AUUGAACGCUGGCGGCAGGCCUAACACAUGCAAGUCGAGCGAGCGGCGGACGGGUGAGUAAUGUCUGGGAAACUGCCUGAUGGAGGGGGAUAACUACUGGAAACGGUAGCUAAUACCGCAUACCAUCAGAUGUGCCCAGAUGGGAUUAGCUAGUAGGGGGGGUAAUGGCUCACCAAGGCAACGAUCCCUAGCUGGUCUGAGAGGAUGACCAGCCAAACGGGAACGGAGACAGGGUCCAGACGCCUACGGGAGGCAGCAGUGGGGAAUACUGCACAAUGGGCGCAAGCCUGAGGCAGCCAUGCCGCGUGUAUGAAGAAGGUCUUCGGGUUGUAAAGUACUUUCAGCGAGGAGGCGUUACUCGCAGAAGAAGCACCGGCUAACUCCGUGCCAGCAGCCGCGGUAAUUC
RNAcentral lists this ribosomal RNA (406 nucleotides) under uncultured bacterium. RNAcentral describes it as "partial 16S ribosomal RNA". It matches the Rfam family "Bacterial small subunit ribosomal RNA", at positions 29 to 526 of the family's 1533-position model. The record is from RNAcentral.